AGCAGCCGCGGUAAUUCCAGCUCCAAUAGCGUAUAUUAAAGUUGUUGCAGUUAAAAAGCUCGUAGUUGAAUUUCGGGAUCAAUAUAUCGGUCAUGCUUAGGUAUGUACUGGUAUUAUUGAUUUCUCCCUUCUGAAGAACCAUGAUGUCAUUAAUUUGAUGUCGUGGGGAAUCAGGACUGUUACUUUGAAAAAAUUAGAGUGUUUAAAGCAGGCAUACGCUUGAAUACAUUAGCAUGGAAUAAUGAAAUAGGACGUUUGAUUCUAUUUUGUUGGUUUCUAGGAUCGACGUAAUGAUUAAUAGGGAUAGUUGGGGGCAUUAGUAUUCAAUUGUCAGAGGUGAAAUUCUUGGAUUUAUUGAAGACUAACUACUGCGAAAGCAUUUGCCAAGGAUGUUUUCAUUAAUCAAGAACGAAAGUUAGGGGAUCGAAGACGAUCAGAUACGUCCGUAGUCUUAACCAUAAACUAUGCCGACUACGGGAUCGGAUGAUAGUUUAAUUUUUAAUUAGUACUCUAC
This 514-nucleotide ribosomal RNA is filed under the name uncultured Glomus. RNAcentral's name for it is "SSU rRNA". It matches the Rfam family "Eukaryotic small subunit ribosomal RNA", at positions 569 to 1091 of the family's 1831-position model. The record is from RNAcentral. Lineage: Eukaryota; Fungi; Glomeromycota; Glomeromycetes; Glomerales; Glomeraceae.